RNAcentral lists this unclassified non-coding RNA (309 nucleotides) under plant metagenome. RNAcentral describes it as "partial contains 5.8S ribosomal RNA, internal transcribed spacer 2, and large subunit ribosomal RNA". The stretch from base 1 to 105 matches the Rfam family "5.8S ribosomal RNA", at positions 50 to 154 of the family's 154-position model. The record is from RNAcentral.
GAAAUGCGAUAAGUAGUGUGAAUUGCAGAAUUCAGUGAAUCAUCGAAUCUUUGAACGCACAUUGCGCCCCUUGGUAUUCCAUGGGGCAUGCCUGUUCGAGCGUCAUUUGUACCCUCAAGUUCUGCUUGGUGUUGGGUGUUUGUCCCGUCUCCGCGCGUGGACUCGCCCCAAAGUGAUUGGCAGCCGGCGUACUGGUCCCGGAGCGCAGCACAUGUCGCGCAAACGAGUGCCUUGGUACGGCGGCGUCCAUAAGCCCCUCUCUCACGCUCUUGACCUCGGAUCAGGUAGGGAUACCCGCUGAACUUAAGC